CACGGGUGCGUAACACGUAACUAACCUGCCCAGACCUGGGGGAUAGCCCGCCGAAAGGCGGAUUAAUACCGCAUAAGAUAAUAAGGUGGCAUCACCUAGUUAUUAAAGAUUUAUCGGGUUUGGAUGGGGUUGCGGGUCAUUAGCUAGUUGGUAAGGUAAUGGCUUACCAAGGCGACGAUGACUAGGGGAGCUGAGAGGCUGGUCCCCCACACGGGCACUGAGAUACGGGCCCGACUCCUACGGGAGGCAGCAGUAGGGAAUAUGGGGCAAUGGGCGAGAGCCUGACCCAGCCAUGCCGCGUGCAGGAAGAAGGCUUUCUGAGUCGUAAACUGCUUUUGAUAGGGAAGAAUAACCAGUACGUGUACUGGGAUGACGGUACCUACAGAAUAAGCACCGGCUAACUCCGUGCCAGCAGCCGCGGUAAU
RNAcentral lists this ribosomal RNA (425 nucleotides) under uncultured bacterium. RNAcentral's name for it is "bacterial SSU rRNA". It matches the Rfam family "Bacterial small subunit ribosomal RNA", at positions 100 to 524 of the family's 1533-position model. The record is from RNAcentral.